GAUGAACGCUGGCGGCGUGCUUAACACAUGCAAGUCGAACGAAGCACUUAACUUGAUUUCUUCGGAUUGAUUGUUCUGUGACUGAGUGGCGGACGGGUGAGUAACGCGUGAGCAAUCUGCCUUUCAGAGGGGGAUAACAUUCUGAAAAGAAUGCUAAUACCGCAUAACGUAUCGAGAUGGCAUCUUCUUGAUACCAAAGGAGUAAUCCGCUGAAAGAUGAGCUCGCGUCUGAUUAGAUAGUUGGUGGGGUAACGGCUCACCAUGGCGACGAUGUCUAGGGGAACUGAGAGGUUAAUCCCCCACACUGGUACUGAGACACGGACCAGACUCCUACGGGAGGCAGCAGUGAGGAAUAUUGGUCAAUGGUCAGACGACUGAACCAGCCAUGCCGCGUGAAGGUGACGGCCCUAUGGGUCUUAAACUUCUUUUGCAAGGGAGCAAUAAGAGCUACGUGUAGCUUGAUGAGAGU
RNAcentral lists this ribosomal RNA (469 nucleotides) under uncultured bacterium. RNAcentral describes it as "bacterial SSU rRNA". It matches the Rfam family "Bacterial small subunit ribosomal RNA", at positions 28 to 476 of the family's 1533-position model. The record is from RNAcentral.